AUACGGAGGGUGCAAGCGUUACUGGGAAUCACUGGGCGUAAAGCGCGCGCAGGCGGCUAUUUAAGUUGGAUGUGAAAGCCUACGGCUCAACCGUAGAACUGCAUCCAAAACUAUUUAGCUAGAGUGUGGGAGAUGAAGAUGGAAUUAGUUGUGUAGGGGUAAAAUCCGUAGAGAUAACUAGGAAUACCAAAAGCGAAGGCAAUCUGCUGGAACACUACUGACGCUGAGGCGCGAAAGCGUGGGGAGCAAACGGGAUUAGAUACCCCAGUAGUCC
RNAcentral lists this ribosomal RNA (274 nucleotides) under uncultured bacterium. RNAcentral's name for it is "partial 16S ribosomal RNA". It matches the Rfam family "Bacterial small subunit ribosomal RNA", at positions 523 to 796 of the family's 1533-position model. The record is from RNAcentral.